This 313-nucleotide ribosomal RNA is filed under the name uncultured bacterium. RNAcentral's name for it is "bacterial SSU rRNA". It matches the Rfam family "Bacterial small subunit ribosomal RNA", at positions 29 to 342 of the family's 1533-position model. The record is from RNAcentral.
ACGAACGCUGGCGGCGUGGAUAAGACAUGCAAGUCGAGCGGGACUUGGUAGCAAUACCAAGUUCAGCGGCGCACGGGUGCGUAACACGUGAGUAAUCUGCCGAGAAGUGGGGGAUAGCUCGCCGAAAGGCGAAUUAAUACCGCAUAUGGCCAGGGAGGACAUCCUUCCGACGCCAAAGCCGCAAGGCGCUUCUUGAUGAGCUCGCGGCCUAUCAGCUUGUUGGUGAGGUAACGGCUCACCAAGGCUUUGACGGGUAGCUGGUCUGAGAGGACGACCAGCCACACUGGAACUGAGACACGGUCCAGACACCUAC